Molecule: transfer RNA, 72 nt
Filed under: Eurypegasus draconis (short dragonfish)
Lineage: Eukaryota; Metazoa; Chordata; Actinopteri; Syngnathiformes; Pegasidae
Description: tRNA-Asp
Rfam family: tRNA
About the family: Transfer RNA (tRNA) molecules are approximately 80 nucleotides in length. Their secondary structure includes four short double-helical elements and three loops (D, anti-codon, and T loops).
Source: RNAcentral
AAGACGCUAGUAAAACAGAGAUUACACUGCUUUGUCAAGGCAGAAUAGCGGGUUAGAACCCCGCGCGCCUUA